CCAAUAGCGUAUAUUAAAGUUGUUGCAGUUAAAAAGCUCGUAGUUGAAUUUCGGGAUCAAUUUACUGGUCGUGCUAUUGUACGCACUGGUUUUAUUGAUUUCUACCUUCUGACGAACCAUGAUGCCAUUAAUUUGGUGUUAUGGGGAAUCAGGACUGUUACUUUGAAAAAAUUAGAGUGUUUAAAGCAGGUUCACGCUUGAAUACAUUAGCAUGGAAUAAUGAAAUAGGACGUUUGAUUCUAUUUUGUUGGUUUCUAGGAUCGACGUAAUGAUUAAUAGGGAUAGUUGGGGGCAUUAGUAUUCAAUUGUCAGAGGUGAAAUUCUUGGAUUUAUUGAAGACUAACUACUGCGAAAGCAUUUGCCAAGGAUGUUUUCAUUAAUCAAGAACGAAAGUUAGGGGAUCGAAGACGAUCAGAUACCGUCGUAGUCUUAACCAUAAACUAUGCCGACUAGGGAUCGGAUGAUGUUAAUUUUUUAAUGACUCAUUCGGCGCCUUACG
RNAcentral lists this ribosomal RNA (499 nucleotides) under uncultured Glomeromycotina. RNAcentral's name for it is "partial small subunit ribosomal RNA". It matches the Rfam family "Eukaryotic small subunit ribosomal RNA", at positions 591 to 1092 of the family's 1831-position model. Lineage: Eukaryota; Fungi; Glomeromycota. The record is from RNAcentral.